CGGCGGCCGAGCUGGGCGUCUGAGCUGCCCGUCCUGGGUCGGCAUGGUGCUAGGCUGUGGCUGCACAGGCUCCUCCCCCUGUGCCAAAAAUACCACGUCCCUGUGGCCACAUGAGACUCGUGCCAGCCAUCAGGGUCCAGGCCACAAAUAGAUGGCAUUUGAGGGCCCUCCAGCUACAGUACAUGAGGACGACUUCCUGGCACGGGGCCGGGCUGAGGUGGGGUCAGACACGGGCCGGAGGACGCUGACCAGCAGGCAGCACCGCUCAGUUCCCGUGCCUCCGCCACCCGCGGUGAAACCUCAGACCUGCCCUCCCUGCCGCCCCUGGAAUGUUCCUGGCCUGCUUCUGAGAUGGCCUCUGUGUCCCGGCCAGGGCUUGUGCCUCCCGGUCCUGACCUCUGGGGCUCAUGUGAGGGCAGGUUCCGAGCCAGAGGGGACAAGAGGACAGGGCGAGGGAUCCAACAAUAAACAUCCGAUCAAACAGGCAGUUCUGGAGGCUGGGAAAUGCAGAUGAAGGUGCUGGCGUCUGAUGAGCUCCUUCCUUCUGUGUCAUCCCUGGACAAAGAAGACAGAGUGGGAGAGCAGGAGGGGCUGGACCCCCCUUCCAUGAGGAACCCACUCCCACGAUACCAGCGUUCAUCUCUUCGUGAGGGCAGAGCCUCCAUAAGCUAAACACCUCUUAAAGGUCCCACCUCCCAACACUUCCACAUGGGGGUCAAGCUCCCGGCACAUGAGCUUUUGGGGCCAUAUCCAAACCACAGCAGUAUCCUACCUAAGAAGACUUUUGCCCAAGGUCUUUCCAAACCCAAGAUCAUGACAAUUUACUGCUAUAUUUUCUUCUAAAAGUUUUAUAGUUUUAGCUCUUAUGUCUGUCAUCC
This 878-nucleotide long non-coding RNA is filed under the name Homo sapiens (human). RNAcentral describes it as "HSALNT0289688". Lineage: Eukaryota; Metazoa; Chordata; Mammalia; Primates; Hominidae. The record is from RNAcentral.